UUUGCGUCGAAGGUAUACCGGUAAGGAGUGCUGGAGCGAAUAGAAGUGAGCAUGCAGGCAUGAGUAGCGAUAAUUAAUGUGAGAAUCAUUAACGCCGUAAACCCAAGGUUUCCUACGCGAUGCUCGUCAUCGUAGGGUUAGUCGGGUCCUAAGUCGAGUCCGAAAGGGGUAGACGAUGGCAAAUUGGUUAAUAUUCCAAUACCAACAUUAGUGUGCGAUGGAAGGACGCUUAGGGCUAAGGGGGCUAGCGGAUGGAAGUGCUAGUCUAAGGUCGUAGGAGGUUGUACAGGCAAAUCCGUAUAACAAUACUCCGAGAACUGAAAGGCUUUUUGAAGUCUUCGGAUGGAUAGAAGAACCCCUGAUGCCGUCGAGCCAAGAAAAGUUUCUAAGUUUAGCUAAUGUUGCCCGUACCGUAAACCGACACAGGUGGGUGGGAUGAGUAUUCUAAGGCGCGUGGAAGAACUCUCUUUAAGGAACUCUGCAAAAUAGCACCGUAUCUUC
RNAcentral lists this ribosomal RNA (501 nucleotides) under Campylobacter jejuni. RNAcentral's name for it is "partial 23S ribosomal RNA". It matches the Rfam family "Bacterial large subunit ribosomal RNA", at positions 1244 to 1737 of the family's 2925-position model. The record is from RNAcentral. Lineage: Bacteria; Pseudomonadati; Campylobacterota; Epsilonproteobacteria; Campylobacterales; Campylobacteraceae.